This 710-nucleotide ribosomal RNA is filed under the name Atocion rupestre. Its description in RNAcentral is "eukaryotic LSU rRNA". The stretch from base 275 to 429 matches the Rfam family "5.8S ribosomal RNA". Lineage: Eukaryota; Viridiplantae; Streptophyta; Magnoliopsida; Caryophyllales; Caryophyllaceae. The record is from RNAcentral.
UCCGUAGGUGAACCUGCGGAAGGAUCAUUGUCGAAACCUGCCCAGCAGAGCGACCCGUGAACACGUUCAACCUCAUGGGUGUUGGGGCGGCAGGUGCCUUGUGUGCUUGCUUGCCCCUAUCCCAGGCCGAGGGGCGCCCACUUGUGAGCCGUCCUCUUGGCCAAACAACGAACCCCGGCGCGUAAAGCGUCAAGGAAUAUAAACUUAAUGUGUGUGCUCUCCCUCUGCCCGGUUAGCCGGUGCGGGGGAGUUGUGCCAUGUCUUAACAAUAAACGACUCUCGGCAACGGAUAUCUCGGCUCUCGCAUCGAUGAAGAACGUAGCGAAAUGCGAUACUUGGUGUGAAUUGCAGAAUCCCGUGAACCAUCGAGUUUUUGAACGCAAGUUGCGCCCGAAGCCUUUGGCUGAGGGCACGUCUGCCUGGGCGUCACGCAUCGCGUCUCCCCCAAACCCACCUCGAGUGGAGGGGAAGGACGAUGGCUUCCCGCGUCUCACCGGACGCGGUUGGCCUAAAAUUGGAGCCCUCGGCAUAGGGAUGCCGCGGCGAUAGGUGGUGAACAUGGCCCCGGCCAAGCAAGCAACCCGUCGCGCGUCGCUGUGCCAUUGCGAGCUCGAAGGACCCUUUGACGUUGCCUCGUUGCAACCAAACCGUUGCGACCCCAGGUCAGGCGGGGCUACCCGCUGAAUUUAAGCAUAUCAAUAAGCGGAGGA